RNAcentral lists this ribosomal RNA (497 nucleotides) under uncultured bacterium. RNAcentral describes it as "partial 16S ribosomal RNA". It matches the Rfam family "Bacterial small subunit ribosomal RNA", at positions 28 to 507 of the family's 1533-position model. The record is from RNAcentral.
GAUGAACGCUGGCGGCGUGCCUAAUACAUGCAAGUCGAGCGAACGGACGAGAAGCUUGCUUCUCUGAUGUUAGCGGCGGACGGGUGAGUAACACGUGGAUAACCUACCUAUAAGACUGGGAUAACUUCGGGAAACCGGAGCUAAUACCGGAUAAUAUUUUGAACCGCAUGGUUCAAAAGUGAAAGACGGUCUUGCUGUCACUUAUAGAUGGAUCCGCGCUGCAUUAGCUAGUUGGUAAGGUAACGGCUUACCAAGGCAACGAUGCAUAGCCGACCUGAGAGGGUGAUCGCCCACACUGGAACUGAGACACGGUCCAGACUCCUACGGGAGGCAGCAGUAGGGAAUCUUCCGCAAUGGGCGAAAGCCUGACGGAGCAACGCCGCGUGAGUGAUGAAGGUCUUCGGAUCGUAAAACUCUGUUAUUAGGGAAGAACAUAUGUGUAAGUAACUGUGCACAUCUUGACGGUACCUAAUCAAAAAGCCACGGCUAACUACGUG